Long non-coding RNA from Clupea harengus (Atlantic herring), 3569 nucleotides. The record is from Ensembl. Lineage: Eukaryota; Metazoa; Chordata; Actinopteri; Clupeiformes; Clupeidae.
AAAAAACACAAUAAAUAUUCAUCAGGACAGUAGCUUUAGUUAGGGCCAGAUUUAGUACUAGGCCCACAGACAUAGUCUAGACCCAGAGACAUAGACUAGACCCAGAGACAUAGUCUAGACCCAGAGACAUAGUCUAGACCCAGAGACAUACUCUAGACCCAGAUACAUAGUCUAGACCCAGAGACAUAGUCUAGACCCAGAGACAUACUCUAACCCAUAGGGUUUGAAGUGUAAGGCAGAGCUCUCCAGUGUGUGCCCCACAGCCCUGCUUGAGUUUAAGGUUUCCUGUUAAACCCAAAGCCUAAUGCACAGAUCUGGUUCUUUGGUUCUUCCCCUGUGCUGGAUGCAUUAUUUGGGUUAUGCAGUAUUUCUGUGAGAUUGGACCAAGGACCUUAACAGACCUUUGCUGUAUAAAAGCUUUGAGAGGAAAUCCUUUAGUUGGACACACACACCCUUUAUGGGAGAAAUCUCCUGUGACUAAAAAUGUGUCCAGUAUUAAUGACUGUAUGUCUAUAACUCUAUACGUAAUAUGUUUUUUUUUUGGAGAGUGUAGGAAUGUUAGUUUGUGUAUGUGUGUGUGUUUAUUUCAAUUCAAUUUCAAUUUCAAUUUCAAUUCAAUUCAAUUCAAUUUCAAUUAAAUUCAAUUCAAUUCAAUUCAAUUUAAUUUAAUUAAAUUUCAAUUCAAUUCAAUUCAAUUCAAUUCCAAUUUCAAUUCAAUUUUUAUUUAUAUAGUACCAUAACAAUACAAUUGUCUCAAGGCGCUUUAUGUUUAUGCAUUCAGUUGAUGUGUGUUUUAAAAAGCAUCACUUCAAAACUCAGUUUAAAACGAAGUAACAAAAUGCUAACUUAGUAUUACAAAUGCAAUUACAACCCAGGUUAACAUAACUAAGAAAUGGAGGACAUAAGAUGACAACUCCUAACCUCCAUUGUGUUUUGGUAGUUGAAUAUAUGAUUUAGUUUAAAUAAUCUCUUGUGACAUAGCAGUAUAUGUUUCCAGCAACCACCAGUUUAAUCAUAAUUACCACUGCAACUGUAUUAUGGUCCAUUAAUAUGUGCCUGAGGAGUAUUUCAGCAUUUACAAAAACUGCGCUAUCUUUAAAACAAAAAAAACCCAAAUCGCAGCUUCUGAUGACAUAUUACCUGACCUCUCAUGGAACCCUUCAGGCUGAGUGUAGCGCUGUGUUGCCAUGGUGACAAGCUGAGUGUAGCGCUGUGUUGCCAUGGGUACAUGCCAGGAGGACUAGCUAUGGAGAAACAUUUUAUUAGUUCUAUUUUGCAAAGAGUUUGGAAUGCUAAUUUUUUUUUUUUUAGUGUGUGUGUGUGUGAGUGUGGUUGAGCGUGUGCCCGUAUGCAUGGCAUCUGUUUAAAACCUUGUAGACUUGUAGACUUUUGUGUCUUGCCAAAAUAUACCAAGUGCCCAUGCACCCCAUAAACAUGUAAUCAAUCCUUUUGCUUGUCACCGAUAGCAGCCAGCAAUCUCACCUUUCCUCUACUUACAAAUGUGUCAUCGAUUAAUAUGCAUCUCUGCUUGUUAAGAUCUAAAUAGACUGAUUAAAUACGAAUAAGAUAGAUAGACUAGGUUAUCUGUUAGUCAUAUAGAGAUUUGUAAGCCAAAUGUUCACGUGAAAUGAACCUGCUCCAGGGCCAACUCUGAAUGUAGAAUAUGAGACUGCCCCCCCCCCCCCCCGCCCCCGCCACCCUCGAGAGGGGUCUCCUGCGCCUGCUUGUCAUGGGAGAUGUUAUGCGUAGACCAUACAUUUAGAAAUGCUGUAGACGGACCACAAGGACCAUACCGCCAUAUGUACAACCUCACACAUUUGCUAAGGCUACAGUUCAGUUCUAACCCUAACCUAACCCUAGGCUCAGCGCUCAUAGACAUGUCAUCAACCCACAAUUAAUUAGGUCAGUCUGACUAACCCUAACCCUAAUCCUGUCUGACGUUUGAGAAAACCCCAAUUAAAAAUCCAGCAGCAAAUAACCACCAUUUGAUGAAAUUUCUUAUUUUAUGUUAUUUCUUGUAGAAAUAGUUUUAUUAUUUUGCACCAAAUCAUAGUAUUUUAAUACGAUUUGGUGCAAAAAAACUGUUCUGAGUUGACAAUGUAUCCAGCAGCUAAAACCUUGACAUUGACCCAAAACAUAGUGAUGAAUCAGAGGGUCAACUCACAGGCAGAGUUACGGUUACAUACACACACACACACACUAGGAGUAUACAGUACCAGUCAAAAGUUUGGACACACCUUCUCAGUAUUUGAGAAGUUUUUUUCUUUACUUUUAUUAUUUUCUACAUGGUAGAUAACAUUUUUUUUUGUUCAGUACAUCAUUCCAUAUGUGUUAUUUCGUAGUUUAAAUAUAAGGUGUGUCCAAAAAAUAAGGUGUGUCCAAACUUUUGACUGGUACUGUAGAUGCAGGUAUAGUAGAGUAUAGUAUGCCAUGGGUCACUCAUGAAACACACCCUACACACACACACACACACACAACACACACACACACUCACACACACACACACACACUUGUAGUAGUAUUCAGGUUUAGGGGUUAGAUACUGUAGUAUAGUAGAGUAUAGUAUUCAGGUUUAGGGGUUAGGGGUUAGAUACUGUAGUAUAGAAUUCAGGUUUAGGGGUUAGAUACUGUAGUAUAGUAGAGUAUAGUAUUCAGGUUUAGGGGUUAGAUACUGUAGUAUAGUAGAGUAUAGUAUUCAGGUUUAGGGGUUAGAUACUGUAGUAUAGUAGAGUAUAGUAUUCAGGUUUAGGGGUUAGGGGUUAGAUACUGCAGUAUAGUAGAGUAUAGUAUAGUAUGCAGGUUUAGGGGUUAGAUACUGUAGUAUAGUAGAGUAUAGUAUUCAGGUUUAGGGGUUAGAUACUGUAGUAUAGUAGAGUAUAGUAUAGUAUUCAGGUUUAGGGGUUAGAUACUGUAGUAUAGUAGAGUAUAGUAUAGUAUUCAGGUUUAGGGGUUAGAUACUGUAGUAUAGUAGGAGUGUAGUAUGCCAUGGGUCUCUCAUGAAACACACCCUACACACCCUAGACACACACACACACACACCCUACAUACACACACACCCUACACACACACACACUUGUGUGUGAGGCCGCAGUGUUCAACCCUGGCCCUUACUGCUGAACAAGUCUAAUUUAGAUGGGUUAGGGUUAGGGUUAGUAAAUGUGAUGUCAUGUGAUGGGUAAGGGUUACCCUGCUGUCGGACCAAGAGCCUUGUGUACCACGGCGGAGGGAACUAGAGGCACCAAGAGCCUUGUGUCCCACGGCGGAGGGAACUAAAGGUCUACACACACACACACACACACACACACACACACACACACACACACACACGAGGCAUUAGAGGCAUCAUUAGAGGGAGACUCCGUGAAGAGCAUCCCAAUAGUUCUCUAGUUGCAGCAUUCAAGGACAUUAAAUUAUGUUUUUGUCAUCUCUAUAUUACUCUGUUCUGUAGCUACUCAGUAGGGGGAUACUGGGUUCCUGUUUAGAAUGGAAUUCCCUUUCUGAAGUAGACGUGAAAGAUAUAGGAAACUCCUCAAAAUGCUUACAAACAAACCUCUUAAUGCAGGCAAUGG